AACAUGUAACAAGGGUGCCGUUAAAUUGGCUGAGAAUAUACCUUCAAGCAGAUCGAGAUAAUGCUCGCGUUGCAAGUUAUUUUUUAUAUAUC
Molecule: non-coding RNA, 92 nt
Filed under: Mycoplasmopsis alligatoris
Lineage: Bacteria; Bacillati; Mycoplasmatota; Mycoplasmoidales; Metamycoplasmataceae
Description: Mycoplasma alligatoris TPP sequence
Rfam family: TPP riboswitch aptamer (THI element)
About the family: Vitamin B(1) in its active form thiamin pyrophosphate (TPP) is an essential coenzyme that is synthesised by coupling of pyrimidine and thiazole moieties in bacteria.
Source: RNAcentral